AUCAUAGAUGAAUAAAAGGAGAAUAUUUGUAGGUUGUAAGGGAGAUCCGUUACUCAGUUAGUGGAGUAAUCGUCAAAACGGAGGACGGAUCGAUAUAUAAGCAAAAUAUGCAAUGGUUUCGACGACCGUUGGCGUCCUCCAGACAAAUCUCAUCCUGACUUGCCUCAAUGGAAACUACUAGCAGUCUACCAAUUUAACAUGGCCAUCUACACCAAGAUCGUCCUGAAGUUCCCCUACAAAUUCUGGGACCAUAUUUUUUAUAUAUGCUCAUGAGAAACGCGGGUAUUAUCCUAUCUGGUAGGUGAAUCAACAAUUGCAAACUUUACCUUUUCUGUAAUUUUCUAUGUUACUGUAGUCUAUAGAUGUCUUUUAUUAUGGAUAAGUUUCAAUAAAUGUCAAGAGCAUUAUGGUUGGAUCUGGAGCAAUUGGUGACUAAUUACCCUGGAUCCAAUCUUCUUCUAAUGAGAGUCACAGAUGAUGUGUCAAGAAGUAUAGAGAAACAAUCAGAUGAAGAGACAAAAGCUGAAGCCAUGGGGGUGUUGAGGAACAUGUUUGGAAAGAACAUUCCUGAUGCAGAGGCUAUACUUGUUCCUCGAUGGUAGUCUGUUGAUGGUUAUAGAAAUCAGAUAUUGAGUUUCUUGUAUAUUACAAAUGGCAAUUUCUAUGUCGUGAAAUAGGUUUUACAAGGGCACUUACUCUAAUUGGCCAAUUGGGGUCAGUCGUUUCGAGUAUGACCAAAUAAUGGUGAGAACUUUUAUCUUAGUGAUAAAAAGUAAGGAUAGGGGUCCAGACUCGCUAAGGUCCAGAGCUCGAGUCAGGUCAGACAACUCAAUCGGGUCUAAACAAAAAAUAAUGAUAAAAUAUUGAAAGGCGGGUAGACUUGUUGGCCUGUUCUGAUGUGUUUGGUUCAGUUUCUUAACAGCCUGCCGAAUUCAUCUGACUCGAGUGAGUCCAAAUCAGACUCGCCAAGUUUGUAUUCAAUGCUAUCAUACAUAAGGAGCCUUGCAUGCGUAUAAAUAUGGGUAAGACCACACGUUUUACAUUUAGUAUUUUGGCUUUGGAAAAUACCAUAUGUAUUUUAAAAAACAAUGCGUUUUUAAUAAAUAGAGAGGUAGUCGUAUAGUUUAGUCCGACAUUGAAGACGAGCGACACUAGAGCGGCUGUUGUAUGGGAAUUUUUAUGCCGAAUGUUUAUGGAACAAAAGAAAGAGUGUGAAUGCAUCUGCAGAGCAUGUGAAGCAUGUGACUUCGUUAGACUUAUGAUACACCAUUUUUACAAGAUGUGACUCAGGCGCGUGCAUGAUCCAACCAACGGCUAUGUCACUAUUGCUCAUAUGAAUAAUCACCUCCAAAAGCCACUAAACACAAUAAAAUUGGGUUUGAAUUUCCCACUUGAAUACUCACAUUCUCUCUCUCUAACCCGACUACACUCUCUCCCUACCAUAAGAUAACUCUUAUGGUUCAUGUGCAUAGAACCAUGAAGUCUACUGAGACCUUCUAUUUUCCUAUAUCCCAAGGACAACUUUGCGAAGCAAAUGUUUUCCAGAAAAAACGCAACCACGUGCCGGAAAAUAACGAUUUACACCCCCGUUUCACAUACUCCAUUUCUAACAUUAUAUGAUCCAUAUAAGCCAAAUGUAUGAGUACUUGAACGAAAUUGUCUGUACCCCAAACAAUGGAGGGAUGUAAAAUGUGGGUAAUCGACUGUAGGCACCGGUUGGCAAGGUUUACUUCACUGGGGAGCAUACCAGUGAUCGUUACAAUGGUUAUGUUCAUGGAGCCUAUUUAGCUGGGAUCGAUUCGGCAAACAUGCAUUAAGAAAGGAAACUGCGAGCCCAAGUUUGAGGGAAGAAAGAAGGGUGGCAACAAGGGUGCAUGUGUGGGAUCGUGCUAUCGCUGUUCAACAUCGAUUAUGAAAUUUGAUAUAUAUUGGCUAAUACUUCGUGAUAUGGUGAUUUUUACUAAGUGAUCAUGGUCGAAAUACUGCUGAUUUUUUAAAUUUA
Molecule: long non-coding RNA, 2002 nt
Organism: Amborella trichopoda
Lineage: Eukaryota; Viridiplantae; Streptophyta; Magnoliopsida; Amborellales; Amborellaceae
Source: RefSeq, a predicted model, not a curated record